CUCCUCAUUUCUAACCAAUAAGACUGAGCUUGUUCCUUAAAUAAGCUCCUUAAAUUUGAGAUACAGGUCUUAGAAGACUGGACAUUUGAUUCUUUUUCUUUAUUUCGAUAUGACCUAGAAACAAAAUUGCACAUAAUAAGAACUAAAUUUUCUUUUAACUGCUUAUACCCUCAGGGGAUCUACAAUACUCUCCAGGUCCCAACAGUCAUAGAACUCAGCUACCAACUGUCAUUCCUAUGCUACAGUGGAUCCUGUCUCGAUAUCAAGGAGGCUGACUGCCAGUUCUCCAGAGCUACAGAUAUCGAAUCUACCUUGGCAAUAUAAAUUUCAAUACCAUCACCUGGAUAAACUGAGACCUAAGGAAGACUAAAAGAAGUCCCAGGAGCUUCCGAGACCAGAUAUCAAGUGUACUGUGGCUGUCUUUGCAAAGAACUGCAAGAUUCCUAACCCUGGAGAAAAAUAAUAGCAGGACUUUGGAUACAAAUUUUUUUCUAACCAAAGAAAAAGUUUCAAGUGUAUAUGAACCUCUGGGAAACUCAAUCUGGGCAGUUUUGAAUAGACAGUUUGUUUCUUUGAUCCAAAAGGAAAGAGAGAGGAGAUAUCUCACUAGAAGUACCACAUACAUAGGAGCACAAGAGCCAAGAGAUACUGAACUCACAAUUCAUGAUAGUCGAGAGAUGGAUACAGGAACUAGAAAGGUAAGAAGCCUUAGUACGACUUCUUUUGAGUAAUCACCAGAGCUCUACAUUGCUGCUGCUGCCUUCUACUCCUGCCACCAAGAGAAACAUUUCUGGAGUAUGCUGACCUGUUCAUUUGAAAAAACUGAUACAAAUGAUGAUUUAAAAAUAUAUAUAUAUUCCAAUUCCUUUUUCCCCCCUCCAUGUCCUAGAGGGCUAAUAUUAAGUCUCAAAUCCCCCCCUUUAAAAUUUGUUUAUAUUUCUGUUUAAUUAACAUGGCAUGCCAACUUAAGAUAAAGUUUUGGUCAGUUUUAACAGCUGAUUUGUGUGCUUUAUUAUAAAAAGCCAGAGAGAAGAUCAGAAACAGAGGAAGAGAAAAUGGACCCUCUCUAUUGGAAUUGUCAGGCUAAGAUUGUGAAGGACUCAAAAAAUCCACAAUGAGAGAGAAUCUUAGUGACUUAUAUUUUAUAAACUUCCCAUAGCAAGAUUAAAAUAGUAACAACAAUGGGGAUGAAUCAGAUUCCUCUUUUCUUCUAAGUAGGAUGCCAGAUUAAUUAGACAGUUGCUCUCUGACAAGAAUUGCACUGCCCUGGGGGCCAUGUUACUUUU
This 1286-nucleotide long non-coding RNA is filed under the name Monodelphis domestica (gray short-tailed opossum). RNAcentral's name for it is "lncRNA (ENSMODG00000040014.1)". The record is from RNAcentral. Lineage: Eukaryota; Metazoa; Chordata; Mammalia; Didelphimorphia; Didelphidae.